GUGAAAAGAGAGACUGGCUUAGCUUCCCAGCCUACAAUUUUCUCCCAUGUUGGAUGCUUCCUGCCCUGGAAUAUCGAACUCCAAGUUCUUCAGUUUUGGAACUCGAACUGAUUCUCCUUGUUUCUCACUGGGCAGACAACCUAUUGUGGGGCCUUGUGAUUACGUUUUUUGCACGUCUGAUGACCUAUGGCUCCACCUGGACCCAACAACCAUGCCUGUGACCUCACCUGUGACCAGCACUACAGAAGGACCAUUUCUCACACCCAUAUGAUUGCACCCCCAAUCAAUCAGCAGCAAACACCCAUUGCUCUAUCCACUCCCACCCCUUCCCCCAAACUACCUUUGAAAAAUCCUGCCCCAAAAUGCUCUAGCAGGCUGAUUUGAGUCAGAAUAAAAUACCAGUCUUCCGUUAGCUGGCUCUAC
This 423-nucleotide long non-coding RNA is filed under the name Homo sapiens (human). RNAcentral's name for it is "HSALNT0292442". Lineage: Eukaryota; Metazoa; Chordata; Mammalia; Primates; Hominidae. The record is from RNAcentral.